AAUUCUCAACUUCACCGAUUUGCUUUGUGUGAAGCUUGGAUUUGGAGUGUGCUGGACCUUGUUUUGGGUCGGCUCCUCUUUAAAUGCAGCAGCGGAGUCUUCUUUGACUUUUGUGGUGUUGGUGUGAUAAUUAUGUUGCGCCGUUGGCCCGUGGGUCUCAGUCCGCUUAGAAUUGUCUUUGGACAACUUAUGUAAC
Molecule: unclassified non-coding RNA, 196 nt
Filed under: uncultured Byssocorticium
Lineage: Eukaryota; Fungi; Basidiomycota; Agaricomycetes; Atheliales; Atheliaceae
Description: sequence contains ITS2
Source: RNAcentral